GGGGCGGUGGCGAAACGGCAGACGCAGCGGACUUAAAAUCCGCCGGGCUAACGCCCGUGUGGGUUCGACUCCCACCCGCCCUA
This 83-nucleotide transfer RNA is filed under the name Candidatus Promineofilum glycogenicum. RNAcentral's name for it is "tRNA-Leu". It matches the Rfam family "tRNA". Rfam says of the family: Transfer RNA (tRNA) molecules are approximately 80 nucleotides in length. The record is from RNAcentral. Lineage: Bacteria; Bacillati; Chloroflexota; Ardenticatenia; Promineifilales (SeqCode); Promineifilaceae (SeqCode).